AACCUCCUUGCCACAGGUAGGGACACCUUCAACCAGAACAGGUUGCUCAAGGCCUCAUCCAGUAUGGCCUUGUCACCAACUCCUUUUCCUUCUGGGGCUUCACCUGGAGCUCUGGGGCUCAGCUUGCCUUGAAUGUGAGAGCCACACAAAGUCCUCUCUCCAACCUGAAAGGCUGCAGGAUGCAGAGUCUCACGGGUGCCCUGCUGCCCCCGAGACAGCCAAGCGGGGACAGGUUCCUGCGCUGCUGUGCCAGAGGGUGCCACGAUGCUCACAGGGAUGCCUGUGUGCUGCACGGCCCCCUGGGGCACUGACAGCACCACUGCCGCGCUGUCACAGCACGACCACCGGCCCCACGCCGCGACAGCUGCCUGGUGCAGAGAGCCUUCACCCAUCAGCUGAGUGUUGUUUAAGUCUUAAACUUAUGUGUGCUGUAACCAGAUUCUUUUAUUCAGCCUGACGAAAAAUAUUCUGUUUGAUGUUUUCACAGACAGCAUCUUAAGGCGUUACUUCAGCGCUGCCCUUUCCGAAGUCAUUAUUACUCAUUAGGUAUAUUGUGCAGAAAGCAAAGUAGGUCACGGAUGAAAAGCCCCAUCUUAGCGAGAGGCACCGGUAUUGCACAAAGCUAUUUUCAACUUUCAUGAGAUAAAAAAUGUUUUCUGUAGGAUGAAAGCUGUCACUGCCAACUUACGAAUGAAUGCCAAGUAUGUAAAAACUUUCA
This is a long non-coding RNA of Pseudopipra pipra, 718 nucleotides long. RefSeq lists it as uncharacterized. The record is from RefSeq and is a predicted model, not a curated record. Lineage: Eukaryota; Metazoa; Chordata; Aves; Passeriformes; Pipridae. The transcript is spliced from 2 exons.